GGGCCGUUAGCUCAAUCGGUAGAGCAUCUGACUCUUAAUCAGGGGGUUGAAGGUUCGAUUCCUUCACGGCCCACCA
Molecule: transfer RNA, 76 nt
Filed under: Candidatus Omnitrophota bacterium
Lineage: Bacteria; Pseudomonadati; Candidatus Omnitrophota
Description: Candidatus Omnitrophica bacterium tRNA-Lys
Rfam family: tRNA
About the family: Transfer RNA (tRNA) molecules are approximately 80 nucleotides in length. Their secondary structure includes four short double-helical elements and three loops (D, anti-codon, and T loops).
Source: RNAcentral